CGCACAUAAGACAUGCAAGUCAACGGAAGUCGUUAUAAAUGGAAUGAAGAUUUUAUCUGAGUGAAGUUUUGUAACAAUGGCCUUUUAGUGGCGGACUGGUGAGUAACGCGUAAGUAAUCUACCUAUUAGAGUGGAAUAACAAUGAGAAAUCAUUGCUAAUACCGCAUAUGCCAUAAUGAAAGGCAUCUUCAUAGUGGGAAAGGAGCAAUCCGCUAAUAGAUGAACUUGCGUCUGAUUAGUUAGUUGGUGAGGUAACGGCUUACCAAGACGACGAUCAGUAGCCGGACUGAGAGGUUGAACGGCCACAUUGGGACUGAGAUACGGCCCAGACUCCUACGGGAGGCAGCAGUCGGGAAUAUUGCGCAAUGGAGGAAACUCUGACGCAGUGACGCCGCGUAUAGGAAGAAGGUUUUCGGAUUGUAAACUAUUGUCGUUAGGGAAGAAAAAGGACAGUACCUAAGGAGGAAGCUCCGGCUAACUACGUGCCAGCAGCCGCGGUAA
Molecule: ribosomal RNA, 501 nt
Filed under: uncultured bacterium
Lineage: Bacteria
Description: bacterial SSU rRNA
Rfam family: Bacterial small subunit ribosomal RNA
Source: RNAcentral